ACGCGAGGACGACCUCGACACUUUCCAACUUUCCGGCCGGGACGACCCGC
This 50-nucleotide non-coding RNA is filed under the name Devosia sp. LC5. Its description in RNAcentral is "Guanidine-II riboswitch aptamer (mini-ykkC)". It matches the Rfam family "Guanidine-II riboswitch aptamer (mini-ykkC)". From Rfam's summary of the family: Simpler in structure and has fewer highly conserved nucleotide positions than the ykkC-yxkD leader. RNAcentral also lists the same sequence under 1 other name. Lineage: Bacteria; Pseudomonadati; Pseudomonadota; Alphaproteobacteria; Hyphomicrobiales; Devosiaceae. The record is from Rfam by way of RNAcentral.